GAGAGAGAGAGAGAGAGAGAGAAUCCUGAAUAAUCUCCCCUGCUGAAAACUUUUUCAGCUCACAGGACUGGGUCAUGAACUAGAAGGCUGCAAGCAAUGGGUGAAGCCAACAAGAGGUGUGUCAUUGCUCCAGGCUCCAACAGAGGACCCCCAAAAUUGGGUCAGAUUCUGGGAAAGACAGGAGUGAGAGGCAAUGAGGACAGUGGUCCGCAGGCUUCAUCUGGCUUACAGCUCAUCUGGGAUGCCCCAUCAAAAGCCAUCUGUCCCCCCCCCCCAGCCCCCAACACUCCUGAGACUAGAGCCCAUAGGAGCAGGCAAAGGCUGGAGGGCCGAAAGGGGUGAUACUGGACAGCACAGUGGCAGGGGAAAGAGGCUCCUCUUCCAGGGCAAAGUCUGGCCUGAGGCCCCAGUUUAAAAAAAACAACCAAAAAACAAAACAAAACAAAAAAAAAACCCAGGGGAUCAGAAGAAACAACAAAAGCACCUCUCUGCUCUCUGCCUCGGGUGCAGGUCAUUGUGUGGUCAGGGCCAGGUCCUAAGGGACAGGGCUGCAGACAAAUCCUUGUCCUGAGGAGCCCAUCACAAACGCUGUCGCCUCAGCUGGGGCUCGGGGCAGCCACCCCUCCCGGCCCCCUACUCUAAGGCAGGGGUGACCCCGAGGGUCUUCCUUCUCUGACAAGGCAGGCUGGCACCUGGCAACUCAGUCUGUUUGGCAUGUGCAGCCAGAAGAGAUUCUGAAGAGUUCCAAAGCCCAGGGCAUGGAGACUAUAGGCUACCCAGGAACCUGCUGUCCUUUGGAGUCUGCACUUCUCAACAAGUGGGCAGAGAGCCCUUUGAUAUCUGGGGGAGGAGCCAGAGAUCUCAAGCAGCUUGUGUUCGGGACUCCACACUCAUACUGUUGGUGGUUGCUGGUGCCCUCUUGUGACCAGGUUGGGGGAUUGCAAGGAAGAAGUUGCAGAAGCGGGCCAAGGUCAGUAAGCACAGAGGCUGAUUCCACAGUUUGGCUAUUGUGACUAGUGCUGUGUACUAUGUCUGUUUUGAAAAUGAGAAACUGAGCACAGAGUGGCUAAGGUUCUUACCCAGCAACACAAAGAGA
Perognathus longimembris pacificus (Pacific pocket mouse) is the source of this 1096-nucleotide long non-coding RNA. RefSeq lists it as uncharacterized. The record is from RefSeq and is a predicted model, not a curated record. The transcript is spliced from 4 exons. NCBI's taxonomy places the organism in Eukaryota, Metazoa, Chordata, Mammalia, Rodentia, Heteromyidae.